AAAUUGAAGAGUUUGAUCAUGGCUCAGAUUGAACGCUGGCGGCAGGCCUAACACAUGCAAGUCGAACGGUAACAGGAAACAGCUUGCUGUUUCGCUGACGAGUGGCGGACGGGUGAGUAAUGUCUGGGAAACUGCCUGAUGGAGGGGGAUAACUACUGGAAACGGUAGCUAAUACCGCAUAAUGUCGCAAGACUAAAGAGGGGGACCUUCGGGCCUCUUGCCAUCGGAUGUGCCCAGAUGGGAUUAGCUAGUAGGUGGGGUAACGGCUCA
This 270-nucleotide ribosomal RNA is filed under the name Escherichia coli. RNAcentral's name for it is "partial 16S ribosomal RNA". It matches the Rfam family "Bacterial small subunit ribosomal RNA", at positions 1 to 267 of the family's 1533-position model. The record is from RNAcentral. Lineage: Bacteria; Pseudomonadati; Pseudomonadota; Gammaproteobacteria; Enterobacterales; Enterobacteriaceae. RNAcentral also lists the same sequence under 1 other name.